RNAcentral lists this ribosomal RNA (253 nucleotides) under uncultured bacterium. RNAcentral describes it as "partial 16S ribosomal RNA". It matches the Rfam family "Bacterial small subunit ribosomal RNA", at positions 524 to 776 of the family's 1533-position model. The record is from RNAcentral.
UACGUAGGGUGCAAGCGUUAAUCGGAAUUACUGGGCGUAAAGGGCGCGUAGGCGGCCUUCUAAGUCGAACGUGAAAUCCCCGGGCUCAACCCGGGAACUGCGUCCGACACUGGAAGGCUUGAAUCCGGGAGAGGGAUGCGGAAUUCCAGGUGUAGCGGUGAAAUGCGUAGAUAUCUGGAGGAACACCGGUGGCGAAGGCGGCAUCCUGGACCGGCAUUGACGCUGAGGCGCGAAAGCCAGGGGAGCAAACGGG